RNAcentral lists this ribosomal RNA (247 nucleotides) under uncultured bacterium. RNAcentral's name for it is "partial 16S ribosomal RNA". It matches the Rfam family "Bacterial small subunit ribosomal RNA", at positions 94 to 334 of the family's 1533-position model. The record is from RNAcentral.
AGCGGCGGACGGGUGAGUAACACGUGGGCAACCUGCCUGUAAGACUGGGAUAACACCGGGAAACCGGUGCUAAUACCGGAUAAUCCUUUUCCUCUCAUGAGGAAAAGCUGAAAGUCGGUUUCGGCUGACACUUACAGAUGGGCCCGCGGCGCAUUAGCUAGUUGGUGAGGUAACGGCUCACCAAGGCGACGAUGCGUAGCCGACCUGAGAGGGUGAUCGGCCACACUGGGACUGAGACACGGCCCAG